This 31-nucleotide ribosomal RNA is filed under the name Purpureocillium lilacinum. RNAcentral describes it as "partial 18S ribosomal RNA". Lineage: Eukaryota; Fungi; Ascomycota; Sordariomycetes; Hypocreales; Ophiocordycipitaceae. The record is from RNAcentral.
UCCCGUAAGGGAACCUGCGGAGGGAUCAUUA